Molecule: ribosomal RNA, 466 nt
Filed under: uncultured bacterium
Lineage: Bacteria
Description: bacterial SSU rRNA
Rfam family: Bacterial small subunit ribosomal RNA
Source: RNAcentral
GCCAGACUCCUACGGGAGGCAGCAGUGAGGAAUAUUGGUCAAUGGGCGGAAGCCUGAACCAGCCAAGUCGCGUGAGGGAAUAAGGCCCUACGGGUCGUAAACCUCUUUUGCCGGGGAGCAAGGGCCGGGACGAGUCCCGGUCCGGAGAGUACCCGGAGAAAAAGCAUCGGCUAACUCCGUGCCAGCAGCCGCGGUAAUACGGAGGAUGCGAGCGUUAUCCGGAUUUACUGGGUGUAAAGGGAGCGUAGACGGCUGGUCAAGUCUGAAGUGAAAGCCCGGGGCUUAACCCCGGAACAGCUUUGGAAACUGAGCAGCUAGAGUGCUGGAGAGGUAAGCGGAAUUCCUAGUGUAGCGGUGAAAUGCGUAGAUAUUAGGAGGGACACCAGUGGCGAAGGCGGCUUACUGGACAGUAACUGACGUUGAGGCUCGAAAGCGUGGGGAGCAAACAGGAUUAGAUACCCGUGUA